GGGCCCGCACAAGCGGUGGAGCAUGUGGUUUAAUUCGAUGAUACGCGAGGAACCUUACCAGGGCUUAAAUGUAGGUUGCAUGAUCUAGAGAUAGAUCUUUCUUCGGACUACCUACAAGGUGCUGCAUGGUUGUCGUCAGCUCGUGCCGUGAGGUGUCAGGUUAAGUCCUAUAACGAGCGCAACCCCUGUCGUUAGUUGCCAGCGGGUAAUGCCGGGAACUCUAGCGAAACUGCCGGUGCAAACCGUGAGGAAGGUGGGGAUGACGUCAAAUCAUCACGGCCCUUACGUCCUGGGCUACACACGUGCUACAAUGGUCGGUACAGAGAGCAGCCACUACGCGAGUAGGAGCGAAUCUUCAAAACCGAUCUCAGUUCGGAUCGCAGUCUGCAACUCGACUGCGUG
RNAcentral lists this ribosomal RNA (402 nucleotides) under uncultured bacterium. RNAcentral's name for it is "bacterial SSU rRNA". It matches the Rfam family "Bacterial small subunit ribosomal RNA", at positions 917 to 1322 of the family's 1533-position model. The record is from RNAcentral.